Molecule: long non-coding RNA, 838 nt
Organism: Salvia hispanica
Lineage: Eukaryota; Viridiplantae; Streptophyta; Magnoliopsida; Lamiales; Lamiaceae
Source: RefSeq, a predicted model, not a curated record
ACCUUCACCCUCUGACAAAAAGUAAAAAAAAAUGUAGACUUUGUUCUUGUAAGAAUUCUUAAUUCUUGAAUUGAAGAAAAGGAUUUAUGUCACCACCAAAUAAAAAUUGAAAAAAAACAAUGGUUGAAAAUAUCCAAAACUACAAAGCAAUGGCCAUAAUAAAUCCCACACAAAAUGGGUCCUUCAUAAACGCUUUAUCUGUACAUUAUCUAAUCUUAAUACUAUCUUCCCAUUCAUAAUAUCCCUUCUCUAUAUUCUCUCUCUUUAGAUAAUAUCUCUCUCUCAAUAAACACUAAAACAAACUUUGGAGCUCAAAAAUCUGCAUUAAAAAAAAAUUACAAUGGCUCUAAGUGGUGUUUAUGUCACAGCACCUGCUGCUGCAGCAGCAAUGGGGCUCUAUUUCUUUGGAAAAAACAUCUCCAACACCAAUGAUGGUGAGGAUGGAGGAAUGGCCGGAAUGACGGUGCCCAAGGACGAGGAAAAUGGGAGGAUUGAGAAAAAGUCGACGGGGGCGGUGGCGCCCAAGUUGGCUCCACAGUUUGAUGGUUUGCAUUGCUUCGAGACGAUUGUUAGCCGUUAGACUAUUCUCAUCCGUAUAGUCUUGAUUAGUUGCUUCUUCAGUUUCCAAAUUGCUAUAAUUUUAUCAAUGGAGGUUAUAUAGUUUUGGCAUAUGAUGUUUGUGUAGGAAACCAAAUAUCUAUAAUUGUAUGAUGAGGUUGCUUUUUAACUUUUAAGCACAUUGAUAUUUUUGUAGGUGAUGUUUAUUCCUGUUGAUUCACUUCAACAUAGUACAUGUGACUCUUUUUUAGUGUUAUGGAAUAAAAACAUUUGUUUACUA